GAUGAAGAACGUAGUGAAAUGCGAUAAGUAAUGUGAAUUGCAGAAUUCAGUGAAUCAUCGAAUCUUUGAACGCACAUUGCGCCCCUUGGUAUUCCGGGGGGCAUGCCUGUUCGAGCGUCAUUAUAACCCCUCAAGCUCAGCUUGGUGUUGGGGCCUGCCAACUGGCAGCCCUUAAAAUCAGUGGCGGCGCCAUCUGGCUCUAAGCGUAGUAAUUUCUCUCGCUAUAGGGUCCAGGUGGAUGCUGGCCAGCAACCCCCAAUUUUCUAUGGUUGACCUCGGAUCAGGUAGGGAUACCCGCUGAACUUAAGCAUAUCAAUAAGCGGAGGA
RNAcentral lists this unclassified non-coding RNA (327 nucleotides) under soil metagenome. RNAcentral's name for it is "partial contains 5.8S ribosomal RNA, internal transcribed spacer 2, and large subunit ribosomal RNA". The stretch from base 1 to 120 matches the Rfam family "5.8S ribosomal RNA", at positions 35 to 154 of the family's 154-position model. The record is from RNAcentral.